Molecule: long non-coding RNA, 618 nt
Organism: Anas platyrhynchos (mallard)
Lineage: Eukaryota; Metazoa; Chordata; Aves; Anseriformes; Anatidae
Source: RefSeq, a predicted model, not a curated record
CCAAAAUCAUCUACCUGGCAGCAUUAGGGCUAGUCUUCUGGUUAGAACAGCAGAAAGGAUAAUUCCUUUCAGAAAUAUUUAUUUCCUGGAGAUUGGAGGUGAAACCCUGGCCCCACUGACACUAGUGACAAAGUAAUUGAUGGCUUCAAAGGGUCCAAAAUAUUGACUUUAUAGGCAACAGAAUAUAAAAACUGCCAUAUUGGGUCAAACUGAAGAUCAGUGUCUUUCACUGAUUAGACGAGUGGUCUUUCAUUGACAGUGACCAUUAUUGGAUACUUAGAGUUUAAAAAGCCAAAGGAUAAAAUGUCUUUCCUAGGUUUUCUCUCAUUGUCUGUCAAACAAAUAGAACUUCUGCAGCCCAUACUGGACCAAAAGCAUUAUGUUUACUAGCUGUUGAUGGCCCUGGAAUUUCUCCAGUCCUUUCUGGAAAUCACUAACUUUCAGCUUUCACAGCAUUGUGUGGUGCUGUCCCACAGUUUAAUAAUGCUGUAAUAAUUGUAGAAAGUGCCUAUAAUUAAUUGUUAUAGUGUAUUGUUACAUUGUUAUAAUUAUAUACAUUGUUAAUUGUUAUUACUAAGUGUUAUAUUUAAUAUCCUAUAAACUGUCAUAAUAAUUUCC